This 480-nucleotide ribosomal RNA is filed under the name uncultured bacterium. RNAcentral describes it as "partial 16S ribosomal RNA". It matches the Rfam family "Bacterial small subunit ribosomal RNA", at positions 28 to 507 of the family's 1533-position model. The record is from RNAcentral.
GAUGAACGCUAGCGGCAGGCCUAACACAUGCAAGUCGAGGGAGAGGUUACCUUCGGGUAACCAACACCGGCGCACGGGUGCGUAACGCGUAUACAAUCUGCCUUUCACAUAGGGAUAGCCCGAAGAAAUUUGGAUUAAUACCUAAUGGUAUAUAAGAGCGGCAUCGUUUUUAUAUUAAAGCUACGGUGGUGAAAGAUGAGUAUGCGUUCUAUUAGCUAGUUGGAGAGGUAACGGCUCCCCAAGGCGACGAUAGAUAGGGGUUCUGAGAGGGAUGUCCCCCACACUGGUACUGAGAUACGGACCAGACUCCUACGGGAGGCAGCAGUGAGGAAUAGUGGACAAUGGUCGGAAGACUGAUCCAGCCAUGCCGCGUGCAGGAUGAAGGUCCUAUGGAUUGUAAACUGCUUUUGUAAGGGAAGAAUAAGGAGUACGUGUACUUUGAUGACGGUACCUUACGAAUAAGCAUCGGCUAACUCCGUG